CACACCAGAAUUACCUGGGGAGAUCAUUAAAACUACAGAUUCUUGGGCCCCGCCCCCGGAGAAUGUGAAUCAGUAAGUAAAUCUGGGGUAGGGCCUGGGAGUUUGUGUUUUUGUACAAAUAAGCCAGGUGACCCUGAUGCUA
RNAcentral lists this microRNA precursor (142 nucleotides) under Mus pahari (shrew mouse). Its description in RNAcentral is "miRNA (MGP_PahariEiJ_G0006723.1)". Lineage: Eukaryota; Metazoa; Chordata; Mammalia; Rodentia; Muridae. The record is from RNAcentral.